GUGCCAACCGCCGCGGUAAUACGUAAGUGGCAAGCGUUAUCCGGAAUUACUGGGCAUAAAGCGUUCGUAGGCGGUUAAGAAAGCCAGUUAGUGAAAGCCACAGGCCUAACCUGUGUAAGCUAAUGGAACUUCUUAACUUGAGUACAGUAGAGGAAAGUGGAAUUCCUAGUGUAGUAGUGAAAUGCGUAGAUAUUAGGGAGAACAUCAGUAGCGAAGGCGACUUUCUGGACUGUAACUGACGCUGAGGGACGAAAGCGUGGGUAGCGAACAGGAUUAGAUACCGUGUAGUCC
Molecule: ribosomal RNA, 291 nt
Filed under: uncultured bacterium
Lineage: Bacteria
Description: partial 16S ribosomal RNA
Rfam family: Bacterial small subunit ribosomal RNA
Source: RNAcentral